AACGAACGCCGGCGGCGCGCCUAAUACAUGCAAGUCGAACGAGAAGCUGUAGCAAUACAGUUGUACAGUGGCGAACGGGUGAGGAAUACAUGGGUGACCUACCCUCGAGUGGGGAAUAACCAGCCGAAAGGUUGGCUAAUACCGCGUACGCUUCCCAGUCUACGGGUUGGGAAGGAAAGCGAUGCCGUGGGUAUCGCGCUCAAGGUUGGCUCAUGUCCUAUCAGCUUGUUGGGGGUAACGGCUCACCAAGGCAACGACGGGUAGCUGGUCUGAGAGGACGAUCAGCCACACUGGCACUGCGACACGGGCCAGACUCCUACGGGAGGCAGCAGUAAGGAAUAUUGCGCAAUGGGCGAAAGCCUGACGCAGCGACGCCGCGUGGGGGA
This 386-nucleotide ribosomal RNA is filed under the name uncultured bacterium. Its description in RNAcentral is "bacterial SSU rRNA". It matches the Rfam family "Bacterial small subunit ribosomal RNA", at positions 29 to 408 of the family's 1533-position model. The record is from RNAcentral.